GGAGAGAGCAUCCCCGUGAAACACUAGGACCUUCUCUGCAUUGUGUCCACCGCCCUUACAUCUUAUAUACAGACACACAGACAAAGAACAUUCCACAAACUCACAUGUUGGCCCCUCUCACAGGGGGGCUAUACUUUGUCCCUCACAGAGAGAAUUAUGAUCUUGUUUUCUGCUUGGCCAUUAUGUAAGGAUUUACAUCCCUGAUAAGCAGAUGGAGUCCCACUAUCUGUUUAACAUUUCCCAUUACAUUGGCCUCACUGUGUUAACAUUCCACAUGCAUGUAAACUAGUGACAGGAGUGAGAUAGUGAUAUUACUAUAACUAAUGUGAUAUGAUUCAAUAUGUGAUUAAUACAUGAGAAAAGAAAUCUGCCACCACAAUUUCAAAUAUUUGUUCAAUCUGUAAAGGUGGUCUCUUGUUUUUACAUAAGGUAUAGCCUGUGGCUAAGGGAUCAGAGGUAAGGUAAAAACACAUAACAGAUGAAAAGUAAAUUGAACAACUCUGUGAUCUGUGAAUUCAUGCUUUUCUCUUUGUCUUUUUGUCUUCGGGUGCUUUACACUUGUCCUCUCCCAGCAUUCAGCACUUCAGACACUCAACGUCCAAGACUGAGCUAACACAGAGAGAUACUCCACCCAGAAGACAGCCUUACCCCAACCCGAUGAGAAGGAUGGAUGACCAAAUGACAAACUGGAGAGUGGUGCUGUGUUCCAGCUAUAGCAGCUGAGAGUGGACAGAGCUGCACAGAGGACCAAAGAUCCACUCUCAGCACUUCAUACCUGACUGGCCACAGCACCACCCCUCCUCACCCAGGGUGCUGACCCUGUCUGCACAGAGGGAGUUGUGAACAUGCACUUCUGUGUCGGUUGGUUUAGGAUCCUCCUCACACUCACACUGAUGAAGACUGUCACUGGAAGAUGUCUCCAUUGCAUCAGCAGGAAGCAUUUGUAUUAGAGAUGGACCGAUCCGAUAUUACGUAUCGGUAUCGGUCCGAUACUGACCUAAAUUACUGGAUCGGAUAUCGGAGAAAAAUAAAAAAUGUAAUCCGACCCAUUAAAUAUCACAAAAGCACCUCACAAAACUUGCAACACGCCGUAACUCACCUCAGAACGUUAGCACGUCGUAGCAGUAUGCAUCACGUGAUAGAGCAGUUGUGGCAUGCGGGACCUGUUGGUGGUCUGGAUAGCAUUUGGAGCUUCGCUAGCAACCUGGCAUUUCAUCUCUGACAAAGUUAUCCCGAGAGAAGUAAAGCAAGUGUGUAAGUCCAUCUCUGAAUGUUUGUAAAGCAUUCCUGCGUUAAGCUUAACAAGCGACUGCCUCUUCUUGCUGCUAUUUCAAUCAUGAAACUGCUUAAUGAUCAGCUGAUCGGCUUUUCUGUCGCGAGUCCGUCUCUCUUGUUUGUUUUUGGCCCAGUUUGCACCAGAAAGAGGAAACCAGCGGCUGAAGAACAGCAGCACGUUUAAGCUUGAUAAGCUGUUGUUAGAAUUUAUUUAUUAUUACUUUCUACACCAGGAUCUUUUUCUACGUAGCUGACGCUGGUAACUGUGCAGGGGCGGAUCUAGCAAAGUUUAGCCAGGGGGGCCGAUAGGGC
Astatotilapia calliptera (eastern happy) is the source of this 1587-nucleotide long non-coding RNA. The record is from Ensembl. Lineage: Eukaryota; Metazoa; Chordata; Actinopteri; Cichliformes; Cichlidae.